UAGGGGGGAAGACGCCCGAACAGUACGGGUAAAUCCAUCGAUCAAAAUACCGGCGGGAUCCCUGAAGACACACGCGAUUGCACCCGAGGUGGAAUUAGGGGUAAAAGCCCCAUCAAUGUUUGCCUUGAAACUGCCAUGAACCGGUGGAGUCCAAAGUCGAUUAGGGUUGAGCAGAGGAGAUUCGGGAAUGGCCAAUUGCUGCAAAGAGUGUCUGUACAGCGAUUCUUCUGCAAGGGCCACAUCUACAAGCUGAUCUGGAGCUGUCCGUUGCCGGCGAAAAGUGAAAUGAUUGCGAGCCUUCCAUAUGUGCCAGAGGAUGAAGGCAAUGAUCUCUUUGGAAGAUAAGAUGAUCAGCUGAAGGAGCUUGACUUAAUGGAAUAGUACUAAUCUCCUCAACAAUGUGAUGGUCGAAGUGCCGUUGAAGAAGAGGGAUAUUCCAAACCUGAUGCUGAGGGACUAUGAAGCCAGCAACCAGUUUGGAUUCUGCAUGAGGAGCUGGUCCGCCAAUGAUUCCAGAGAUAGACUUGCUGCUGGGUGUUGCUGAAGAGGGAUUUGCUCCACUUGGCAAGAGCAAAUGAAGUGCGUUGAAGCUUGCUAGUCAAGGAUGGAGGCCGCGUUGUUGGUGAAGUCCAUGCAUUGCUAAUGAUCGAUUUGCAAUCUUCCUCUUGAAGCCAGAAAGCUUCAAAGAAGAAAGUUUUCCUCCUUUUAGAAGAGGUCGGUUCAGUGAGUAAGAGAAGAGGACUGUGAUCGGAGGCUAAAGCUGGGAAAGCAAAAACUUCUGCAGCCGGUGGUAAAGGAUGUCAUUAUAGUCUCCUAUGCACACCCAUGGAAAGGAACUUGAAGUCCGAAUCUGUUUGAUAUCUGUCCAGACUUGCUGUCGAUGAUGGUAAAUCGAAGGCGCGUGAAGACAGGUCAGCAGAAGGAGAAGGCCGCUGCAUAGUUGAUGAAUGUUUUGCUUUAUUUGCCCAUGUUUCUGAAUGCUGAUGAAGAAGCUGAGGGGCUGGAAGGAGUAAAGGAGCUGUUUGCGGUUGAGUUUCUGUUUUUCUAUCGAUACUUCAUCUUCCCAGAUGUCCACACCUUGUUCAGGCCAGAGUCUUCCAAGUCGUUGGCAGAGAGCAGCAACUCAAG
Long non-coding RNA from Eucalyptus grandis, 1128 nucleotides. RefSeq lists it as uncharacterized. The record is from RefSeq and is a predicted model, not a curated record. NCBI's taxonomy places the organism in Eukaryota, Viridiplantae, Streptophyta, Magnoliopsida, Myrtales, Myrtaceae. The transcript has 6 exons.